AAUCAACGCUGGCGGCGUGCCUAACACAUGCAAGUCGAACGCGAAAGCCCCGCAAGGGGUCAGUAGAGUGGCAAACGGGUGAGUAACACGUGGGUGACCUGCCUUCGAGUGGGGGAUAACGUCCCGAAAGGGACGCUAAUACCGCAUCAUAUGCUGCCUUUGAAGAGGUGGACAUCAAAGCUGGGGAUCGCAAGACCUAGCGCUUGAAGAGGGGCCCGCGCCUGAUUAGCUAGUUGGUGGGGUAAUGGCUCACCAAGGCUACGAUCAGUAUCCGGCCUGAGAGGGCGGGCGGACACACUGGGACUGAGACACGGCCCAGACUCCUACGGAGGCAGCAGUGGGGAAUUGUUCGCAAUGGGCGCAAGCCUGACGACGCAACGCCGCGUGGAGGAUGAAGACC
RNAcentral lists this ribosomal RNA (400 nucleotides) under uncultured bacterium. RNAcentral describes it as "bacterial SSU rRNA". It matches the Rfam family "Bacterial small subunit ribosomal RNA", at positions 29 to 416 of the family's 1533-position model. The record is from RNAcentral.